GUGCCAGCCGCCGCGGUAAAACGUAGGAGGCUAGCGUUAUCCGGAUUUAUUGGGCGUAAAGCGCGUGCAGGCGGUUUAUCAAGUUGGAUGUGAAAGCUCCCGGCUUAACUGGGAGAGGUCGUUCAAAACUGAUAGACUAGAGAAUGGUAGAGGGAGGUGGAAUUCCGGGUGUAGUGGUGAAAUGCGUAGAUAUCCGGAGGAACACCAGUGGCGAAAGCGGCCUCCUGGGCCAUUUCUGACGCUAAGACGC
RNAcentral lists this ribosomal RNA (250 nucleotides) under uncultured bacterium. RNAcentral's name for it is "partial 16S ribosomal RNA". It matches the Rfam family "Bacterial small subunit ribosomal RNA", at positions 505 to 754 of the family's 1533-position model. The record is from RNAcentral.